RNAcentral lists this ribosomal RNA (492 nucleotides) under uncultured bacterium. RNAcentral's name for it is "partial 16S ribosomal RNA". It matches the Rfam family "Bacterial small subunit ribosomal RNA", at positions 29 to 507 of the family's 1533-position model. The record is from RNAcentral.
AGUGAACGCUGGCGGUAGGCCUAACACAUGCAAGUCGAACGGCAGCACAGUAAGAGCUUGCUCUUACGGGUGGCGAGUGGCGGACGGGUGAGGAAUACAUCGGAAUCUACUUUUUCGUGGGGGAUAACGUAGGGAAACUUACGCUAAUACCGCAUACGACCUACGGGUGAAAGCAGGGGAUCUUCGGACCUUGCGCGAUUGAAUGAGCCGAUGUCGGAUUAGCUAGUUGGCGGGGUAAAGGCCCACCAAGGCGACGAUCCGUAGCUGGUCUGAGAGGAUGAUCAGCCACACUGGCACUGAGACACGGUCCAGACUCCUGCGGGAGGCAGCAGUGGGGAAUAUUGGACAAUGGGCGCAAGCCUGAUCCAGCCAUACCGCGUGGGUGAAGAAGGCCUUCGGGCUGUAAAGCCCUUUUGUUGGGAAAGAAAAGCAGCAGGUUAAUACCCCGCUGUUCUGACGGUACCCAAAGAAUAAGCACCGGCUAACUUCGUG